RNAcentral lists this long non-coding RNA (938 nucleotides) under Betta splendens (Siamese fighting fish). RNAcentral describes it as "lncRNA (ENSBSLG00000020809.1)". The record is from RNAcentral. Lineage: Eukaryota; Metazoa; Chordata; Actinopteri; Anabantiformes; Osphronemidae.
AUGAUGAAGACUGUAUUAAUGUUGUUAGUGGUGAUCUGGGUACCGGCUACAGUGAUGCCAGGAAUGUGUCAUUUCACCCCCCAAGUUACAGCACAAGUGGGACAAAAUGUCACUUUGCAGUGCUGUUUUGAUGCUUCAUUGAAUUUAAGAACUCGGACAGUUGACUGGAAAAAAGAUGACAAGCAGGUGGUCCACGUCUACCGCGAUAGAAAGGACUGUCCUGAUCUACAGGAAACGCAGUUCAGACACAGGACAGCUCUAAGGCAUGAAGACCUGAGCAGAGGAGUCAUGACACUGCAGAUCUUGGCUCAGCUCAGUGACACUGGCAACUUCUCCUGUAAUGUGCCAAAAGGCCGGGGUUCAGAAAUGCUCUCCCAGCGAGUCAUGCUCAUUGGUAACGGCAUGGAUUUCCUAGAAUCACUUUAACAUUUAAAAGGUGCUUAACUGUUUUUUUUAACAGUGAUGAACACAAGAGAAGUCCAUGCCAACACAACAAGGUCUCCGAAGGAAGACGAGAUGACCACAUCUGGUAAACUGUUUAAAUGUUCUCUCAUCAUGACAAACAAGUUCAUAGUGUGGAUUAAUCAUUGGCCUGGUCAUUGUCUGUGUUCUAGAGCUGCUCCACGUUUAUUUGUCAGUUAUCCUGUGGAAGGGGAAUUACCUACUGAUAACUUAGUAUGCUGAUUCAUAGCUUCGGCUUCAGAAAGCUUCUCCCUUCUUUACUACACCAGCUGUUAGGGCCGCGAUUAUUUUGUUUUCACCAGAUGAUUAAAAACAGAAAGCUGACAGUGGUGUAACUUGUUCUAAAUCUGAAAGAGUGAAAGCAGCCUUGGAUUAUAUUAUAUAUUGUAAAAUGAUUUACUGCUACAAAGAAGAGGUAGUAACGCGGGAGUUACUGUAGCUGUAUUGUGACGUGAGUUAAAUAGUUUGUUUAUGUC